UACAGAGGUCUCAAGCGUUGUUCGGAUUCAUUGGGCGUAAAGGGCGCGUAGGCUGCGGGGCAAGUCGGGUGUGAAAUCUCAGAGCUCAACUCUGAAACUGCACUCGAUACUGCUUUGCUGGAGGACUGGAGAGGAGAUUGGAAUUCACGGUGUAGCAGUGAAAUGCGUAGAUAUCGUGAGGAAGACCAGUGGCGAAGGCGGAUCUCUGGGACGGUACUGACGCUGAGACGCGAAAGCGUGGGGAGCGAACAGG
Molecule: ribosomal RNA, 253 nt
Filed under: uncultured bacterium
Lineage: Bacteria
Description: partial 16S ribosomal RNA
Rfam family: Bacterial small subunit ribosomal RNA
Source: RNAcentral